Long non-coding RNA from Neofelis nebulosa (Clouded leopard), 519 nucleotides. RefSeq lists it as uncharacterized. NCBI's taxonomy places the organism in Eukaryota, Metazoa, Chordata, Mammalia, Carnivora, Felidae. The record is from RefSeq and is a predicted model, not a curated record. The transcript is spliced from 3 exons.
CAGGCUUCCUCUGAUGGAACCAGUCAUUGUUACACCAGUAUCAACAACAAGUGUUCAUUGAGCACUAAGCAUGUGCCAGACCCUCUUCAAACUCAGUUUGCUUUUGUUGAAUUGACUCUGGUAAUCCUUAUAAGAAGGGCAAUGGUACUACCCUGAUUUGUUUGUUCAACUGAAGCCAACACCGGAAGCUCAGGAAAGGUACAGAUGCCAACAGAGACCAAGUUGAGAAGCAUGCAGGUUUCUGGAAAUUUGUUCCCAAAUGUGUGCCCAGCCUUCCUCCUGCACGGUAUACUGGCCUCUUAGGUCAAAUCUGGCCUCUUUAAUUCUGCUGCUUUUCUGACAUUUGUGUGGAAGCCUCUUAGCUUGUUCUGACUUGUGUGGAGCUACCUUCCCUGUUACUCCUGAUUCACAGGAAGAAAGGAGCCAUCAAAGAAAGCCCGGCUCCCGGAGGCUCCGCGCCGCGCUCCCUUUUGCCCGCCCGACUUCUGAGCGGAGCGCUCCGGAGGGAGGAGAACCGGC